This 253-nucleotide ribosomal RNA is filed under the name uncultured bacterium. Its description in RNAcentral is "partial 16S ribosomal RNA". It matches the Rfam family "Bacterial small subunit ribosomal RNA", at positions 524 to 776 of the family's 1533-position model. The record is from RNAcentral.
UACGAAGGGGGCGAGCGUUGUUCGGAAUCACUGGGCGUAAAGGGCGCGUAGGCGGCCCUCCUUGUCGCGUGUGAAAGCCCCGGGCUCAACCUGGGAACGGCGCGCGAGACGGGGGGGCUGGAGUUCGGGAGAGGAGCGUGGAAUUCCCAGUGUAGAGGUGAAAUUCGUAGAUAUUGGGAGGAACACCAGUGGCGAAGGCGACUACCUGGCCUGUUCUUGACGCUGAGGCGCGAAAGCUAGGGGAGCAAACGGG